GAUGAACGCUGGCGGCGUGCCUAAUACAUGCAAGUCGAACGCACAGCGAAAGGUGCUUGCACCUUUCAAGUGAGUGGCGAACGGGUGAGUAACACGUGGACAACCUGCCUCGAGGCUGGGGAUAACAUUUGGAAACAGAUGCUAAUACCGAAUAAAACUUAGUGUCGCAUGACACAAAGUUAAAAGGCGCUUCGGCGUCACCUAGAGAUGGAUCCGCGGUGCAUUAGUUAGUUGGUGGGGUAAAGGCCUACCAAGACAAUGAUGCAUAGCCGAGUUGAGAGACUGAUCGGCCACAUUGGGACUGAGACACGGCCCAAACUCCUACGGGAGGCUGCAGUAGGGAAUCUUCCACAAUGGGCGAAAGCCUGAUGGAGCAACGCCGCGUGUGUGAUGAAGGCUUUCGGGUCGUAAAGCACUGUUGUAUGGGAAGAACAGCUAGAAUAGGAAAUGAUUUUAGUUUGACGGUACCAUACCAGAAAGGGACGGCUAAAUACGUG
This 497-nucleotide ribosomal RNA is filed under the name uncultured bacterium. RNAcentral describes it as "partial 16S ribosomal RNA". It matches the Rfam family "Bacterial small subunit ribosomal RNA", at positions 28 to 507 of the family's 1533-position model. The record is from RNAcentral.